Molecule: ribosomal RNA, 265 nt
Filed under: uncultured bacterium
Lineage: Bacteria
Description: partial 16S ribosomal RNA
Rfam family: Bacterial small subunit ribosomal RNA
Source: RNAcentral
CGCAUGAGUGGCGGACGGGUGAGUAACGCGUGGGCAACCUGCCCUGUACAGGGGGACAACACUUAGAAAUAGGUGCUAAUACCGCAUAACGGGGGGAGCCGCAUGGCACCCCCCUGAAAACUCCGGUGGUACAGGAUGGGCCCGCGUCUGAUUAGCUGGUUGGCAGGGUAACGGCCUACCAAGGCGACGAUCAGUAGCCGGCCUGAGAGGGCGGACGGCCACACUGGGACUGAGACACGGCCCAGACUCCUACGGAAGGCAGCAG